CCUACGGGAUGCAGCAGUGAGGAAUAUUGGUCAAUGGACGCAAGUCUGAACCAGCCAUGCCGCGUGCAGGAUGACGGCUCUAUGAGUUGUACACUGCUUUUUUACGAGGGUAAACCCCGAUACGUGUAUCGGUUUGCAAGUAUCGUACGAAUAAGGAUCGGCUAACUCCGUGCCCGCAGCCGCGGUAAUCAGGAGGAUCCGAGCUUUAGCCGGAUUUAUUGGGGUUAAAGGGUGCGUAGGCGGUUUGAUAAGUUAGAGGUGAAAUGUCGGGGCUCAACCCCGAAACUGCCUCUAAUACUGUUGGACUAGAGAAUAGUUGCGGUAGGCGGAAUGUAUGGUGUAGCGGUGAAAUGCUUAGAGAUCAUACAGAACACCGAUUGCGAAGGCAGCUUACCAAACUAUAUCUGACGUUGAGGCACGAAAGCGUGGGUAGCAAACAGGAUUAGAUACCCCAGUAGUC
This 460-nucleotide ribosomal RNA is filed under the name uncultured bacterium. RNAcentral describes it as "partial 16S ribosomal RNA". It matches the Rfam family "Bacterial small subunit ribosomal RNA", at positions 338 to 795 of the family's 1533-position model. The record is from RNAcentral.